GUGGGGAAUCUUGCGCAAUGGGCGAAAGCCUGACGCAGCCAUGCCGCGUGAAUGAUGAAGGUCUUAGGAUUGUAAAAUUCUUUCACCGGGGACGAUAAUGACGGUACCCGGAGAAGAAGCUCCGGCUAACUUCGUGCCAGCAGCCGCGGUAAUACGAAGGGGGCUAGCGUUGCUCGGAAUUACUGGGCGUAACGGGCGCGUAGGCGGACAGCUUAGUCAGAGGUGAAAGCCCAGGGCUCAACCUUGGAAUUGCCUUUGAUACUGGCUGUCUUGAGUGUGGGAGAGGUGAGUGGAACUCCGAGUGUAGAGGUGAAAUUCGUAGAUAUUCGGAAGAACACCAGUGGCGAAGGCGACUCACUGGCCAAAUACUGACGCUGAGGCGCGAAAGCGUGGGGAGCAAACAGGAUUAGAAACCCGGGUAGUCC
This 425-nucleotide ribosomal RNA is filed under the name uncultured bacterium. RNAcentral's name for it is "partial 16S ribosomal RNA". It matches the Rfam family "Bacterial small subunit ribosomal RNA", at positions 354 to 796 of the family's 1533-position model. The record is from RNAcentral.